RNAcentral lists this ribosomal RNA (301 nucleotides) under uncultured bacterium. RNAcentral describes it as "partial 16S ribosomal RNA". It matches the Rfam family "Bacterial small subunit ribosomal RNA", at positions 509 to 807 of the family's 1533-position model. The record is from RNAcentral.
CAGUCGCCACGGGAAUACGGAGGAUCCAAGCGUUAUCCGGAUUUAUUGGGUUUAAAGGGUGCGUAGGUGGCCUGUUAAGUCAGGGGUGAAAGACGGUAGCUCAACUAUCGCAGUGCCUUUGAUACUGACGGGCUUGAAUGAACUAGAGGUAGGCGGAAUGUGACAAGUAGCGGUGAAAUGCAUAGGUAUGUCACAGAACACCAAUUGCGAAGGCAGCUUACUAUGGUUUUAUUGACACUGAGGCACGAAAGCGUGGGGAUCAAACAGGACUAGAUACCCCAGUAGUCCCUGUCUCUUAUAC